AUGGGAUGGAGCUGGCUGGUCCCCCCUUGGCCUUCACCUCCCCCUGCUCCCCAGGUGGCACUGGCUGUGUCCCCCAGGUGCGCCCACAGCUGCUUUGCCAUGGCAGCUCCAGGAGCUCCUCCCAAAGGGCAGGCACAGCUCAGUGCACACAAACAAUUACCUCAGCCUUGGAGCCUUGAACAGCCUGGGGAUCCCCCAGCCACAGGACAGGCUGAGGGUCACCCCAGCCUGGCUGCUGUCAGGGUCACCCCAGCCUGGCUGCUCUCAGUGUCACCCCAGCCGUGUCCCCAGGCUGUGGGACAGCAGCAGGCACACCUGCUCCUCUGCUCACCACCAGCUCACUGAGGUGCUGCCCGGCUCAUCCACCACCAGGAAACCAAACACUUGGGAUAUUCCGCUCGUUUGUUGUGAAAUUGUUUCCUGACAGCAACAGAUUUAAAUGUCAUCGUACAAAUGGCAGAGAGAAACCUUUUAUGCAGUUGCAAAGUGGUUUUCUAAGAUGGUUGGGUUACCGAAAGUGAUUUUACUGUGCAUUAAUCUUAUGAAUGUUACUAUGUUUUAUAUUUAUUUUAGAUGACCCUCCUGUAUUUUACAAAGGGAAGUUUCAUUGUGUGAUAACUCAGUCUGUAUUCUUAAUAUAAUUUGUUAAAUGAAACUUGUUUUAAUCAGGUAAUUCUGUGUGCUUUGUGUUUUAAUUUUCUGGCUGAAACAACUACCUGGAUCAGAAGGGUGAACUACAGAGGUGGCAACACGAACCCCUGUAGGGAACAUGCUCUUAUUUGUGGGCUUCUGUGUCCAAAACCUCUUUCUCUACAGGUAUGCUGCAAAGUCAGAACAAGCUCAAAUGCUGUGUUUUAUGGUGCAGGGUUGGGUGAAGCCUGGCAGGAGCAGUGCCCAGCACAGUGCUUGUGCUGACAGCCUGGGGGCAGAGUGGCCACCUGGGCCCAGCCCGUGGCCACCCUGGCAGCUGUGCAGGCACCUGCAUGGCUGGGGCAGCAAUCCUGAGGGGAAUGGGCUGCUCAGCCAGGGGGAGGCUAAUGCUGCACUACACUGAAAACUGUUUUUCUUUGUGCUAAAUUAUUAUUCUUCUGAACUCGACCCAAGCUAGUGGUGCACAAUCUGAUCUCUGGCAUCUUCUCACCCCAGACAGUAUUUCUGUCUCGCUUAUUUUGAGUGUUCUUUGAAUUAAGGGAGAUUAAUACCCAAGUUCCCGACAUUCUCUUCAGGAACAUGUUUUUAUAACCUUUUGAAAGCAGUACCACUUGCUGCACAAAAACUCCGAAGCAGCAUCCUGUGGCUGCCGUGGGAGCUGUCACCAGCACCUGAUGGAAUGUCCUGGCAGGGAGGAGGUGCAGUGGGGAGGACAUAAACCAGAGUGGGCCUGUCCUGUGCCAGCCCACGGCUCCCCAGGGCUGUGCUGCUGGGGCUGCAGCCCCCCCCCCCCCCCCCCCCCCCCCCCCCCCCCCCCCCCCCCCCCCCCCCCCCCCCCCCCCCCCCCCCCCCCCCCCCCCCCCCCCCCCCCCCCCCCCCCCCCCCCCCCCCCCCC
This 1546-nucleotide long non-coding RNA is filed under the name Ficedula albicollis (Collared flycatcher). RNAcentral's name for it is "lncRNA (ENSFALG00000024836.1)". Lineage: Eukaryota; Metazoa; Chordata; Aves; Passeriformes; Muscicapidae. The record is from RNAcentral.